CCUACGGGAGGCAGCAGUGAGGAAUCUUCCACAAUGGACGAAAGUCUGAUGGAGCAAUACCGCGUGCAGGAAGACGCUUUUCGGAGUGUAAACUGCUUUUGUCGUCGAAGAUUAUGACUGUAGACGAAGAAUAAGGACCGGCUAACUACGUGCCAGCAGCCGCGGUAAUACGUAGGGUCCAAGCGUUAUCCGGAAUUACUGGGCGUAAAGCGUACGCAGAUGGCGUAAUAGGUGAGUUGUGAAAUCUUGUGGCUCAACCAUAUAGACUAUGACUCAAACCAUUACACUAGAGGUUGGUAGAGGCAAGCGGAAUUCCCGGUGUAGCAGUGACAUGCGUAGAUAUCGGGAGGAACACCAAUGGCGAAGGCAGCUUGCUGGGCCACACCUGACGUUAAGGUACGAAAGCGUGGGGAGCGAACGGGAUUAGAUACCCCGGUAGUCCACGCCGUAAACGAUGGAUACUAGUGGUAUGGAGAUUCGACCCUCUGUGUCACGAAGCUAACGCGAUAAGUAUCCCGCCUGGGGAGUACGAACGCAAGUUUAAACUUAAAGGAAUUGACGGNUUGAGAGUUGCGAGCGACACGAGGAGAG
This 591-nucleotide ribosomal RNA is filed under the name uncultured bacterium. RNAcentral describes it as "bacterial SSU rRNA". It matches the Rfam family "Bacterial small subunit ribosomal RNA", at positions 338 to 943 of the family's 1533-position model. The record is from RNAcentral.